RNAcentral lists this ribosomal RNA (1338 nucleotides) under uncultured bacterium. RNAcentral's name for it is "bacterial SSU rRNA". It matches the Rfam family "Bacterial small subunit ribosomal RNA", at positions 28 to 1381 of the family's 1533-position model. The record is from RNAcentral.
GACGAACGCUGGCGGCGUGCUUAACACAUGCAAGUCGAGCGGUAAGGCACCUUCGGGUGUACACGAGCGGCGAACGGGUGAGUAACACGUGAGUAACCUGCCCUUCUCAUCGGAAUAAGCGUUGGAAACGACGUCUAAUGCCGAAUAUGACUUCGGACCGCAUGGUCUGAAGUGGAAAGCUCCGGCGGAGAAGGAUGGACUCGCGGCCUAUCAGGUAGUUGGUGAGGUAACGGCUCACCAAGCCGACGACGGGUAGCCGGCCUGAGAGGGUGACCGGCCACACUGGGACUGAGACACGGCCCAGACUCCUACGGGAGGCAGCAGUGGGGAAUAUUGGACAAUGGGCGCAAGCCUGAUCCAGCAACGCCGCGUGAGGGAUGACGGCCUUCGGGUUGUAAACCUCUUUCAGCAGGGACGAAGCGAAAGUGACGGUACCUGCAGAAGAAGGACCGGCCAACUACGUGCCAGCAGCCGCGGUAAUACGUAGGGUCCGAGCGUUGUCCGGAAUUAUUGGGCGUAAAGGGCUCGUAGGCGGUUUGUCACGUCGGGAGUGAAAACUCAGGGCUCAACCCUGAGCGUGCUUCCGAUACGGGCAGACUAGAGGUAUGCAGGGGAGAACGGAAUUCCUGGUGUAGCGGUGGAAUGCGCAGAUAUCAGGAGGAACACCGGUGGGCGAAGGCGGUUCUCUGGGCAUUACCUGACGCUGAGGAGCGAAAGCAUGGGGAGCGAACAGGAUUAGAUACCCUGGUAGUCCAUGCCGUAAACGUUGGGCGCUAGGUGUGGGGACCUUCCACGGUUUCCGUGCCGCAGCUAACGCAUUAAGCGCCCCGCCUGGGGAGUACGGCCGCAAGGCUAAAACUCAAAGGAAUUGACGGGGGCCCGCACAAGCGGCGGAGCAUGCUGAUUAAUUCGAUGCAACGCGAAGAACCUUACCUAGGUUUGACAUAUAGCGAAAACUUAUAGAGAUAUAAGGUCCUUUUGGGCGCUAUACAGGUGGUGCAUGGCUGUCGUCAGCUCGUGUCGUGAGAUGUUGGGUUAAGUCCCGCAACGAGCGCAACCCUCGUUCUAUGUUGCCAGCACGUAAUGGUGGGGACUCAUAGGAGACUGCCGGGGUCAACUCGGAGGAAGGUGGGGAUGACGUCAAGUCUUCAUGCCCCUUAUGCCUAGGGCUUCAAGCAUGCUACAAUGGCUGGUACAAAGGGCUGCGAAACAGCAAUGUGGAGCGAAUCCCAAAAAGCCAGUCUCAGUUCGGAUUGGGGUCUGCAACUCGACCCCAUGAAGUCGGAGUCGCUAGUAAUCGCAGAUCAGCAACGCUGCGGUGAAUACGUUCCCGGGCCU